CACUACAUAUAAUGAAACAAACUACAUAAUUGUCUUGACAAAAACACUAACCAUGGGCAGGUAAUGUAACUAACUUCGUGAUCUGGUUUUAAUAUGUUCGCAUUACAAUUUCGCCAAUGGAUCCUAUAGCUUGCCCAUUACAUUCAAGGUUUAGUUGGCUACUCUUAGCAGCCAUGGCGGUUAUAAACGGAACAGGGUGGGUCCAUAGAAGGAGUUCCAGGUCCUAUGCAGUAUUUAUAAGACUUUCCACGGCCACAAUUUCGAGGUUCAUUAUGUUCACCCGCCGUAGCAGUGGUAAACACUGGUGGAUCAUUGAUGUCUGCAAAAUUAACAGCCAUAUAUUUCCCAUUUUAUAUACAUAUAAGGCUAAAGUGCUAUAUAAGCGGAUAAAGGUAUAUAAGCCCUUGAACUUUUGCAAAAAAUCAAUUAAGCCCUCCGCAGAAAACGUAUUCAAUUAAGUCCUCAAACUAUCAAAUUGCAUCAAUUAAUCCCUUUGAUCAUUAUAGCAUUGGCAUGGCCGUUAGCGGCACUGAUGUGGUGCUCCAAGUCAGCUAAAAAAAACAUUUUUAAAAAAUAAAAAUAUUAAUUUUUUACUAGAAUGAACCUGGACAACCAUUUGUCCAGAUUCAUUUUAGACUUAAAUUUUUUAAAAAUUAUAAAAAAAUAAUUUUAUAAAUUUAUAAAGCAUUAUAAAAAAUUAUAAAAAUAUUAAAUAAAUUUCAAAAAUCUCAAAAAAUAUAUAAAUCAUUAAAAGGUUAACUCCAAAAUUUGUUUAUAUAUAUAUAUUCUAAAAUAUUUUUAAGAAAUUUUUGAAUUUUAUUUAAUAUUUUGAUAAAUUUUAAUAAUAUUAUUUAUUUAUUAUUUUAAAACAUAAAUUUUUUAUGAUUUUUUAAAAAAUUUAAGUCAAAUCAAAUUGGGCAAGUAUUUGUCCAGGUCAUUCUAGUAAUUUUUUUUUUACUUUUUUUUUGAAUUUUUUAUUUUUUAAAAAAAUUAUUAUUUUUAUUUUGUUGACGUCAACAACUGUCAUUGACAUAGAGUGCCAUGUGAGCAUUAUUGAUGGUCACAUCAGUACUGUAACAGUUAAAGAUGAUCAAAGGACUUAAUUGAUGCAAUUUGAGAAUUUAAAAAUUUAAUUGUGUACACUUUUGACAGAGGGGCUUGUUGAUUUCUUCGCAAAAGUUUAAUUGCGUUGAUUUUUUCGCAAAAAUUCAAGUGCUUAUAUACUUUUAGCCUAUAUAUAAUUAAAACCAUCCGUAUGUAAAAAUAAAAUAAAAAAAUCAAUAGAAUUGAAUAAUCAACAUAACACAUCCAAGUUCUUAUUCAUAUAAUGUUUAACAUUAUUUGAUUGUGAUUCAACUAUGUUAAUGUUAUAUAUAUUGCUUUAAGAUGUAAAAGAAAUGAAAAAUAGAAUAAAAGUGUUAAAUUUGUUGGUAAUGUGUGAUUUAUCCUUCUAGAUAAAUUAUAAAAAAAAAAUCAAUAUAAUCAGACAAUGAACGCAGUAUACUCAAAUUCAGAACUAUUUACUAAUAAUUUAACUAGUUAUCGUAUGCGUAUAUAUGUAAAUAUAUUGCUUGAUUAUAUAAAAUAAAAUUGGAGAUAUCUAUAGAAGUAAUAAACUUGUUGAUGUGAUUACUUACCCUUCUCCCCCAGCUGUCGAGCCAUGGUAAAAGUAGGGGUAAAGAGAGUGGAAGCCAGGAGAAUGCAUACCAUCACUAAUAAUGCUUUCAUUUUGGGGGGUAUAUUGUUGUUAUUAAUAGUAGGUAGUUUGUGUUAAGCAUGGCUUUCCUUUCGACCACUAUUUAUAGGUCGAUAUCUCAAGUGUAUUGUGGCUACUUUUCAAAUAUAAUUUGAUAAUAAAUUAUUAUUCACUCUAUAAAACUAGCAAAAUUGACAAAGGGAGGACUGAAGAAAUUUCCACGGCAGACAAUGGGUUAUAGGAUUAUAGUUAUUUUCUGUUUUUUUAAUAAUUUUAUUAUAUAUUCUGAUUAUAUCUGUUUUUUUUACACAAUAUUUAAAAUUUUCUAUAGUCCCUCCUAACUCAUAAAUAAGAAGAUAAUGCACUUUAGUGCACUCGAACCCACAUCCUUUUACAUUGGAAACAAUGUUCAUACCAAUCGAAUUAAGAUUUAAUCAGCUACCUUCUAUCCUUUUUAUAGUCCAUAUUUCCACACAAAAAUCAAAUUUUUAACAGUUGUCACUUUUAUUAUUCUCACUGGGAAAAAUAGAAACAUUAUUAGUGAUUAACUUUAUGGAUUCAAGAUGUAAGGAGAAAAUUUGAGGAUCAAAUUUAUGUUUAAUUAUAUAUAUAAUAUAUAAAAAUAUAAUUUGUUCGAUGUCAUUGAUAUUUGUUGGGUCUAGUACUAAAGAAUUCAAUACGUUUUUAGAUCCAAACCUCGUAGAUAAAGAAAAGAAUUUCAGAAAAACUUUAACCUCCAUUUAAUAACCCAAUUCAAUUCAAAUUUAAUGAUCAAAUAUUGAAGGAUCUCGUGAAAAAAAUCUUGUUCAACAACAACUCUUUUAGAAAAAAAAUAGACUUUUAUUUCUUAGUUGAUAUAUCGAUUUCUUAUUUCUAAUGAUUUGAUUUUAAUUUUUCUUAUAAUUUUAUAAUUUAUGAAAAUAUGAUUUGAUGGCAUUGAUACUUGUUGGGUUCAGUAGUAAGAAGGUUGAUGCAUUUUUGGGUCCUAAUUUUGUAGAUGAAGACAACAACACUAAAAAAACUUUACCCUCCAUUUAAAAACCCAGCUUAAUUAAACUUCAAAUUUACUUAUCAAAUAUUGAAGGAUCUCAAGAAAAAAAAGAAGAAGCAUUUUCUACAACAAUUCUUUUAGAAGGAAAACAGACUCUUAUUGUAUAGUUGACGUAUCAAUUUCUGCUUUGCAAUGAUUUGAUUUUAGGUACAUUUCAAUUUUGUUAAUGAAAGAUAGCAACAUCCACCCCAAGCCUCAAAUGACUUGUUAGAUCAUGAUAAUAAGGACAAAUAUGUUAAUUGUUAAGCAUUACUAACUCAUACAAUGUGGGAUCACUUCUUACACCAACACUAAAUAAAAAGCAAGCUUGAGGCCAAUCAUAGGACCAUGAGGUAUUACUUGUCUCUCAUCUUUAUCUUCUUUAAUAAGUUAAUAUACUUUUACUCUCUCCAUAAUCAUGAAUCCUUAAUUAACUUAAGUAUUAAAGAACAAUUAAAAUGUCAAAUCCAAUGCCCCUUAGCUUACCCUUGAGUCGUGCAGAUUGAUUCAAGCCUCUUGAAGCACCUCAACAAGUUUGGUCUACACCAACCUAAAGAAGACUCUAAUAUUUGGUGCUAGCUUUAGGAACUGAGCGAAAACCCAUGGAUUAGUCUUAACAACCUGUUAAGCUUCAAUUCUUUUCCCAAGUUUUUGUCUAAGCUCCUAUUUUUUCCAUUGGAGAUUUCAUAAAACUUUCAUUUUUGGAUUUUAGAAAGUUUCUCAAACAUAUUUAUCUCCAUUAUUUUGGUUUAUUGAAGGUUCUACUUUUUCAAUGUCGGUCAACAAUUGAUCAAAAUUAAAAAUAUUUUUUAAUAUUUAAAUAUUUAGUAUUGUAACUUUCUAUUUUAAAUUUAAAUUUAAUGUUUUUAUUUUAAAUAAAACUAAAUGUCAUGUGAAAUUUUUUCAUUGACCAUAACAUGCCACGUGGCACUUUUUCAUUGGUCAAAGUUGUCUAACAGUUUUUUUUAUCAUCCGUUGUAAAAUUAACCAAAAACAGAGGACAUUGAUACUUUAAGUACCAAAUUGAAAAAAAAAAGAUACUAAAGUAAAAAAAAACAGAUAUGCUUUAAGAGCUAAAUUGUAAUACCCCAGAAUUUGGGGUUAGAAGUUUUGAGGUUCUGGCUAGGAUCAUUGAAUAGGUGGAGCAAUUGAGUGAGUUUUCGCGUUUUAAUGUCAGAAUGAGAUUGCUGGUUUGAUGGUGGUGAGUGUGUUAGUUUAAAUUUGGGCUUUGGGUUUGAGUCCUCAUGUGUGUUUUGAGAAAUUAAUAUAUUUUGGUUUUGGUUUUUAAUUUUUAAAGAUUUACUUUAAUAUUUGAAAGAAGAGGUUUUUCAGUUUCACAUUCUUUUCCAUUUAUUUUUCCCUUUUUUUUUGUUGUUGUUCCCUCUUUUAUAUUUCGGUUCUUUCCCCAAAUUUCAAUUCUUUUGAUUUCUUGUUUUGUCCAUUUUACACUCAAGUUACGUGUUGUUUGUCAAGGCUGAUUGUCCUCGUGCGUUUCAUCUUAUCGGAAGUGAAGCGAGUAGGUUUUGCUCAUGAGGGUUUAUGAUAGAAUUGCUUAUAUUUCUAUUUUUUGUUAAUUGAAAUUCUUAUAGUUUAAGUUUACGUGUGAAAUUGAGGUUUCCAAAUAGUUUGAUGAGAGCGAAUCGAUUGGUCCUUGGUGCUUGACAUCGUGUUCUAAGGUAUGUGUUCUGAAACCGUUUAACUUCGGUAUCGAGUUGUGGUGGAAUUCAAUAAUGUCUCGUGCGUUUCUGAAAUUGGUUAUUUGAAGUAUCAUAUUGUUACUGAAUUGCAUGAAAUUUUGUAUGUUUUGGCAUAAUUCUGGGUUAUCAAGGGUUGGGAAUUGUUUCGACAUCCAAAGCAUGAUUUUUAGGCUGUUUCGGUGUGGUUUUGUGACCACACGGGCUUGUGUUGUACACGGGCGGUCCACAAGGCCAUAUGCAAUUGAGAAUUUAGGGUUUUCGAUGAUUUUUGGUACCACACGACCUAGCCAUACGAACAUGUGUCCCCACACAGGCAUGUCAGAUCUCCACAUGGUUGUGUCUUCUCUUCUCUUUAUUUUUGGCACUUUUGGACAGUGAAUUACACGGGCUGCUCACACGACCAUGUAACUUGGUCACAUGGGUGUGUGUCUCCUCCACAUGGGCGUGUAGGCCUCCACAUGGGCGUGUAGGCCUCUACAUGGCCGGGGCACACGGCCAUGUGACCCUAUUUGGUAGAAUUUUUGUUUUGAGUCAUAAACUGUCUAUUUUAUGUUUCUAUAUAAUCGAACCCUCAAUCAAGCCUCGGUAAGUGUGUUUAGGACUCGAUUUAGUUUGGUUCGUGUAUAUAUGUGUGUUUAUGGGCUUUAAUUUUAUUGCUCGUUCAUGUGAUGAAUAAGUAUGAGUUUAUUAUUAUUGUCAUAACUGAAUAUUAGAAUACAAGUGUAACCAAAUCUGAAUCUGUUCAACUGGAAAUGUUAAUGCCCAUUUCUGUAAGUUGUCUGCGUAAUGUGUGCAUUGUUGCAUAGCAUGAAAAUUUUGAGAUCUGGUUAUGAAGAGAAGGAAGACAGACUUAGCAGUUUUAACUACGAUACUUUUGAACGGUUUACCGCACUAUCCUAUACGUAUAUCAGCUUAGCUGAAUACAAUUUCUCAAUUGGUAUAGUUCCACAUUGUGGUGUGUAGGGUGGACGAACCUAUUAUGGUUCUAUGUGGUGUGCAGGGUGGACGGGCCUACCAUAGCCUUUAUGUGGUGUGCUGGAUGGACGAAGUGGUGUUUGGUUGGUGAGGUGGGAUUUUUGACUUGUGCAUCCAUUCGCAUCUGAAUAUACGUCUGUUUGUUAGAACAUUUUAUUUGUUUAUGUGAACAUUUGGUUACUGACAAUAUAGUUAAUGUCAUGCAAUAUGUUCUGAUUAUUGCUUAUGUUUGGAACAUCAUUUUUGUGGUUUGAUAUUGUAUUUACAUAUCGAUUGAGAUUUUUGUAAGUAAUAUUUUUAUACAUAUGCUUGACUAAAGUAUUUAUCGUGUCACUCCGUCUUUUGCCAUUUGUUUAUGUGUCGGACUCACACUGAACUCGCGUAGCUCAUCUUUGUAGUGUUUUUUCUCUUUCAGGUACAUUCCGUGUUUUGGAGUUGAACUCCACAUAGCGAAUGUCUCAGAGUUCUUUGAUCGGUUUGAUUUUAAAUACUGUUAUGAUAAACUAUUUGAAUUAUGCACCUUUGUUUUUGCACAUAAGUCUAUGUGUACUGUGGUAUGGGGAUUUUUAAGUUACUUUGAAAUUGUUUAAAAUCACUGAUUUGAUUUAUUCCUAACGGUUUUUAAACGACUGUUAAAUGUUGUUUCCAAAAACAACUACAUAUCAUUUAAUCUACUAAAAUUAUGAAGCAUAAGGGUUUAGCAAAGAAUUUUCUAUGGUUAUAAAUGAGUUUUAUCUCCGCCACUUUGGUUGGCCAAUGUAACUCCCGAAAUUCGGUCUAACUUCUAAGUCGGAUUUUGGGGUGUUACAUAAAUUCAAAACUAAGCCUUUUUUAUUUUAUAAUAGCUGAAAAAACACUUUUUUUGUCAUAUUGUAUUAUUGAUCUCAAUUAAUCUUAUAUCAAAUUUAAAAGAUAAGCUUGUUUACUAAAAAUUUUAAAAGAUAAAUGAAACAAUAAGUACUAUAGUCUAUAUCCAUAUUUUUUCCUUUUCCCUUCACUUGGAAAAUUUUAUAAAAAAAAUAUGCCAUUAAUCCAAGACCUUUUGUGGCGAAUUUUAGUAUAAAUGUCGCUAUAUUUAUGGUGCCAAAAUAUUCACACGAAAUUGUUGUGAAGCGGGUGAUGAAACUUGAAAUUAGCAAUUUUUUAUACAGUAAACGUCGCAGCUUUUGUCACAAUGGGUGGUGUUUUACUUUGAAACAUGGUGGUUAAAAGUAAUACAUGGCGACAUUUUUUCUAAAACCACCACUACUUUUGCCAUCGUAUGUAGAAUUUGAUAUAGUGCUUGGUCUCUCUCUAGUUCUAAUCUUAUCAUUGAUAUCUCCACUAAUAUCUUAAGUGAUUCUUUUUGACCCCUAAAUAAUAGUUGGAGUUGUUCAAUAUUGUUAUCUAAGUCAUCAUUUAGAUGAAUAAUAUUGGUUUCAUAAGUAUACAACAGGCAUUUCAAAAAUAUCUUUUUUUUAUAUACAAAAUUAUUUAUAAUCCUUCCUCAAUCCUUAAAUGGGAGGAUAAAUGCGCUUCAGUGUGCUCAAAUUCACGUUUUCGUGUACUAAUAACAAUAGCAAUACCAACAUUAAUCAAAAUAAGACUUAAUCAACCUUUUUUUUUAAUAAUGUAUUUAAUGCUUGAUGUAAUGGUGACUGAGUCAAGCACUACUGCAGUUAAUAAAUUAUUAUUUAAUUUUCAUAUUAAUAUCUAAUUUUUAUAAAAUUUUGGCUAUUAAUUAAUUAUUAUAUAAUUAUUCUCAAAUGAUAGAAAUAAGUCCAUUAACUAAUUUAUUUUUAUUGAUAAUUUCAAAGUUAUCAUAUGCUUGUUGAAAGAAAAGUAUCGAAAACGAAAUAUCAUGAAAUUUGGGUAGCAAAGGCAAUAAACGAGUGCAUUAAAAUUUACUACUUAUUUUUCCACACAAAAGAAUUAUAGCUCUUUUCUUUUUCUUUAUGCAUAUUAGAGGUGUUCAUGGGCAAGGUUGGAUUGAGUUUAGGUCGAAUUUAAGCAUGAUAUUAAUAUAUUUUAUAUUUUUUUAAGCCUGGCCCGACCUAUAAUGAGUACUUGAUUUCCAGUGGUGUCGAAAAAAUACGAUUUUGAUAUUUCAUUUCUGUUAACCGAGUCCGUAAAUAUUAAAAAUGGAUAUUUACGGAGUUAGUGUAUAAAUAAAUUGAAAUUCGGUUAAAUAAUUUAGUCGAAAUUCUGGUUAAUUAAGGCCUAGGGAUUAAAUUGAAAAAAAUUAAUCGCUAUAGAUUUUUAAUUAGGAAAAUACUUAGGGACUUAAAUAGUGAUUAUCCAUGGGACUAAAAUGGUUGAUAAACCAAUUUAAAAUAGAUCAUAAUGGGAUGUGAUGUUAAAAUGCCUUUAGAUUAAAUUAAUUAAUGAUUAAUGUUUAAUUAAAUUAAUUAAUUAAGUUUAAUUAUAAAUUAAACUAAUCAUAUAAGCCAAAUAAGUGGAAAAAGAUGAGAAAAAGAGUCAUCAUCUUCAACCUCAUCACCGUCCACCAUUUCUAAGAAAGAAAAAAGCUUUUGAAACUUUUAUACAUUCGACUAUAAAUUAUAAGUCCUUAGUCAUUUUUCUUUGAUUUUUAUAGAUUUGAGGUCAUGAGAGUUUGAUUUAACUAGCCCGUGUACUAAUUUUUGAAACUGUUAAAAAUUUUAAAAGUUUUCAUCGUUAGAAAAUAGAUGAGUAUAGUGUAAAUUUGAUAGAAAUUAAACUUAGUUUAUGAAAACGACUAAAUUGUAAAGCUUAAUUAUUAGUUUCGUACAUUAAAGACUAAAUUAAAUAAAAUGUAAAACUGUUAUGAAAUUUUAAUAAAAAUGAAAAUUGGCAGUUUCAUACAUUUUUUUCUAAAAGCGCCACUAUGCCAUUGUAUGUUGAAUUUGAUGUAGUGUUUGGUCUCUCUUGUUCUAAUUUCAUCACUGAUAUCUCCACUAACAUCCUUUAUUAAAUGAUUCUUUUUUACCCCCGAAUAAUAGUUGGAGUUGUUCAAUAUUGCUAUCUAAAUCAUCAUUUAGAUCAAUAUAUAAUAUUAGUUUCAUGAGUAUACAAUAAGCAUUUCAAUAAUAUUUUUUUCGUAUAAUAUUUAAAAUUAUUUAUAAUCCUUCCUUAACCUUUAAAUGGGAGAAUAAAUGCGCUUCAACGUGCUCAAAUUCAUAUCCUCGUGCAUUUAUAACAAUGACAACAUUAAUGUUCACCGAGCUAACACUCAACUAACUUUUUUAAUAAUGUCUUCGAUGCUUAAUACAAUGGCGACCAAAUCAAGCACUAGUGCAAUUAAUAAAUUAUUACCCAAUUUUCAUAAAAAACUAUUAUAUAAUUCUUCUCAAAGAAAUAUUGAUUGACAUCAAGUACAUUAACUAAUACAUUUUUAUUGAUGAUUUCAAAGUUACCAUAUGCUAGUCGAAAGAAAAAUAUCGAAAAUGAAAGAUCAUGAAAUUUGGGUAGCAAAAGCAAUUUAAUGGUUGCAUUAAAAUUUACAACAUAUUUCUUAAUACAAAGAAAUUAUAGCUCUUUUCUUUUUUCUUAUGCACAUUAGACGUGUUCAUAGGCCAAGUCGAAUCUAGUUUAGGUUGAACUUAAACAUGAUAUUAAAAUAUUUUAUACUUGUUCAAAUCUAACCUAACCUGUAAUGACUCGGUUUUCAAAUUCAACCACGAUUUUGUAUCAUAUAUUUUGAAGCUAUGAUUAUGAGGUUACUAUUCUAAAGCUACUCUGAGACUAAUUUCAUUAUAAUGCCAAUAAAAAAACCCACAUCAAACUUCCUAUACUCACUUAACAGUAGGACUAAAAAUUUAAAUUUUAGAAAAAUUAGUAACUAAAUUAAAAAAGUUUUAAUUAAGUGAGAAAAAUAAAAAUAAUCUCAUAAUUAAAAAACGUAGUUUACCCAAUAAAAAUACUAGAAAGGAAGGUUGAAAUUUAUAAUAAAGUAACUAUGAAAACAAAGCAUCACAUGAACGUACAAGCAGUUUGGAGGUAGCUUGAAUUAUCGAAAGAAACUCCUCCAGAGGAAGACUUUGAUUUAGAUACAUGGAAGAGUAAUUGAAAGCCUUGAGAAGCCAAUGUUGAUGAGCUCAUAGUAACUCGUUAUUGCAGACACACUACAUAUGAUGAAACAAACUACAUAAUAGUCUUGAAGAAAACACAAAUCAUGGGCAGGUAAUGCAACUUCAUGAUCUGGUUUUUAUAUAUUCACAUUACAAUUUCGCCAAUGGAUCCUAUAGCUUGCCCAUUACAUUCAAGGUUUAGCUGGCUACUCUUAGCAGCCGUGGCGGUUAUAAACGGAACAGGGUGGGAUCUUAGGAGGAGUUGUAGCUGGUAUGCAGUUCUUGUAAGGCUUUCCACAGCCACAAUUAGGAGUGGUAAACACUGGUGGAUCAUUGAUGUUUGCAAAAUUAACAGACGUAUAUUUCCCAUUUACAUAUAUAUAUAUAGCUAAAGGGUAUAUAAGUCCUUAAAAUUAUUUACUAAUAAUUUGACUAGUUAUUGUAUGCGUAUAUAUGUAAAAAUAUUGCUCGUUGAUUAUAUAAAAUAAAAUUGGAGAUUCCUAUAGAAUUAGUAAACUUGUUGAUGUAAUUAAUUACCCUUCUCCCCAAGUUGUCGAGCCAUGGUGGAAGUAGGGAUAAAGAGAGUGGAAGCCAGGAGAAUGCAUACCAUCACUAAUAAUGCUCUCAUUUUGGGGGGUAUAUUGUUGUUGUUAAUAGUAGGUAGUUUGUGUUAAGCAUGGCCUUUCUUUCGACUACUAUUUAUAGGUCGAUA
RNAcentral lists this long non-coding RNA (10138 nucleotides) under Gossypium barbadense (sea-island cotton). Its description in RNAcentral is "long non-coding RNA (GBAR_LNC000161)". The record is from RNAcentral. Lineage: Eukaryota; Viridiplantae; Streptophyta; Magnoliopsida; Malvales; Malvaceae.